AAAUGGUUUCAUAUCUAAGGGUUGUGUAAAAACUAGCCAGUCCUUUGGGUAUGAAACCCAUUUGGGCGAGAGUGGUACUGGGAUGGGUGACCUCCUGGGAAGUCCUCGUGAAAGGGUUUC
RNAcentral lists this ribosomal RNA (120 nucleotides) under Triticum aestivum (bread wheat). The record is from RNAcentral. RNAcentral also lists the same sequence under 1 other name. Lineage: Eukaryota; Viridiplantae; Streptophyta; Magnoliopsida; Poales; Poaceae.